GUGGUCGUAAUUUAAAAAAAAUACUAGAUUGUGAUUCUAGACAUGAGAGCUUAUCCCCCUCCGACCACC
Molecule: transfer RNA, 69 nt
Filed under: Phrynoderma hexadactylum (Indian five-fingered frog)
Lineage: Eukaryota; Metazoa; Chordata; Amphibia; Anura; Dicroglossidae
Description: tRNA-His
Source: RNAcentral